GAUGAACGCUGGCGGCGUGCCUAAUACAUGCAAGUCGAGCGAACGGACGAGAAGCUUGCUUCUCUGAUGUUAGCGGCGGACGGGUGAGUAACACGUGGAUAACCUACCUAUAAGACUGGGAUAACUUCGGGAAACCGGAGCUAAUACCGGAUAAUAUUUUGAACCGCAUGGUUCAAAAGUGAAAGACGGUCUUGCUGUCACUUAUAGAUGGAUCCGCGCUGCAUUAGCUAGUUGGUAAGGUAACGGCUUACCAAGGCAACGAUGCAUAGCCGACCUGAGAGGGUGAUCGGCCACACUGGAACUGAGACACGGUCCAGACUCCUACGGGAGGCAGCAGUAGGGAAUCUUCCGCAAUGGGCGAAAGCCUGACGGAGCAACGCCGCGUGAGUGAUGAAGGUCUUCGGAUCGUAAAACUCUGUUAUUAGGGAAGAACAUAUGUGUAAUUAACUGUGCACAUCUUGACGGUACCUAAUCAGAAAGCCACGGCUAACUUCGUG
RNAcentral lists this ribosomal RNA (497 nucleotides) under uncultured bacterium. Its description in RNAcentral is "partial 16S ribosomal RNA". It matches the Rfam family "Bacterial small subunit ribosomal RNA", at positions 28 to 507 of the family's 1533-position model. The record is from RNAcentral.